This is a long non-coding RNA of Heteronotia binoei (common prickly gecko), 402 nucleotides long. RefSeq lists it as uncharacterized. Lineage: Eukaryota; Metazoa; Chordata; Lepidosauria; Squamata; Gekkonidae. The record is from RefSeq and is a predicted model, not a curated record. The transcript has 2 exons.
UGAAGCAUUUGCCUGGAAUGAAAUUUGUGAAGUGCAGUUGAGAGAAAGUCACGGACCAUUUUGCUCUUGAUAAAAGUGUGAACUGCCUUAGGGCGGUUCUUCGAAACACACAGCAAGUACAGUCAACAGAUGCGUUGAGAUUGAUGUUGGAUUUCUCCAGCGUGAGGUGAAGAUUUGCUGCUGUUGCCCCGCCUCCCCCUUUGAACGGACUUUCACUUCACCGGUGCUCUUUUGAGCCUUUUCCCUCCUUGUAAGGCUUUGGUCACAUUAUUUUAUCUUCUGUCACAACGGCACUAAUUGAACUGAGACAUUCUUGCUGGAGCUGGGCUCCAUGCAUCCUUCUGCACUUUUGAUUGUGUUUUGUGAGAGAUGUUUGAAUACAAUUUAUUGUGAUAUAAGCGA